Molecule: non-coding RNA, 6203 nt
Organism: Podarcis lilfordi (Lilford's wall lizard)
Lineage: Eukaryota; Metazoa; Chordata; Lepidosauria; Squamata; Lacertidae
Source: the annotation of a GenBank genome assembly
GGAGAGUGGUGGAAAAAGAUAUCAAUUCAAUAGUUGUGAAGCAAUGUGUGUGUGUGUGUGUGUGUGUGUGUGUGUGUGUGUGUGUAACCCAAACUCUUGGAACUUCUUCCUGUUUCAUAGCUCCGAAAGGCACACUGAUCCCUUUUCGGUUACAGAAUAAAAGCUUUGUGAUUGGCCGGAGCAAUGACAAAAGUAUAAAUGGAGGGUGGUUCAGCCAGUCUCAGCCUGGGUUUUGCGAGCUGAUAUCCAGGCAAAUAUUGUGGUAUGUGAGACCUUGGGAGGCUGGGCAGGAGAGAGGCUGGAGGUUUAAGUUGAGGAAUUUUUAGAGCUCACAAAUAUUUAGCAGUUCUGAACAACUGUCAUUCCUGAAAUGUUUGCUGCUCUGUAUAAGAAGCUGGGGGACAUGCUCUGAGCGAGUGCUAGAGACAAAAGCAUAAGUAGCAAAAAUUUUGCUGGGCUUUGCGUACCGGUAAUGGGAAGCAAACUUAAUUCUUAUUUUCAGCAAAGGGGAUUUGGCAAACCUAUUCUGUCCCUCUGCCCUGAUGCAUAUUCUGCUUGCAAUGCCCAGGUAGCACAAACAUGUGUUUUGGGUCAUUGGUGCACUAAUCCAUGCACUCAAUAAUGAAAUCUGUUUCUCCAUCCCGCCUCUCUUUUAGAAAGAACCCAGAUACUGUUCCAACACAAUUUUCAUUCUGCUCUCUUAUCUCUGUGUUUUUCUUUUUAACCUGCUGCUUAUUGCUCUACUAAUUGUCAUUUUAAAGAUGGGCUUGUCGUUUUUAUUCUUGUGGCCAGUAUUUUAAACGAACCACUUUUCUCAUAACAAGGUGGGGUAAAGAAACCAUGAUAAUCCUUCAAAGAGGGUUUUUUUUUAAAUUAAAAAAUUGCAUAACUAUAGAAGCUCACCACAAUCAAAUUGUUAUCUGUAUUUGUUCUUAAUCACUUUUUAACCACACCUUUCCACCCACAAAGAGGCCCUUAAGGUGGCUUACAUUUAAAUUGCAGGCUUUAAUGCAAUACAAAUUAAAAACCAACAGUGUUGUACAAUAAAUAACAAUCUAGUCAUUGAAACAGAGGCAGGGAGAAAAGUGAGCCAGUUUUAGCAGUGCUCCGGGAAGGGCUACUGGACCAAACUGUCUUCCAAAGGCAGGUUGAGAGACUGUCAAGAUUCUAGCGAGCAAGAUGCCACUACUAAGAAAGCCCUGCUCCUUGUGGAUGUCACCUUGCAGUGCAGGGAGGAACGACAGAUGUAUGCCGGGGAAGGUCUUGCAAACGUGUAGUUUUGCGCUCAAUGUGAAAGUCUGUGUCAGAAAUGGGAAUUCUACAAGUCAUGUGCAUUUCUGACUUGUCUUCAUACCCAUUCCUUCCAUCUCUGUGUUAUGUGCAAAGGAUUGAGGGUUGUAUCCAACCAAGUUAUACCUGGAGUAGCACCGCUGCUAUGAACGGAACCAAGUUAGUCAUGUGCGUUAUUUUCAAUGGGCCUACUCUGCAUAGGGCUAAUGCUGGAUACAAUCCUGAGCUGUCUUGGUAGUGAGAUCAACAAGUUGCCUUUUCCAUACCACCGGCAGAAGCAUGGCUUGCUGUUUGUUAUGUGCAAAUUCUUUUGAGCUAAUCUGGUACAGUAUAUAAUUUAGCUGUUCUUAGGGAUAAUAUAGACAGUAGUCAUUUUUUUCACUUCUAAAACAGCAUUAUGCCGCAGUGAUACUGUUUGGUAUUUGCGUGGUGUUAAUCCUCACUCCCCACCAUACUUGGUUGUGUUUCCAGAUGAUUAUCUCCACUUUUCAAACAUCCUUCUGAGAAUGGAAUAGAAAGCUGGCAAUCAACUUUCUGUCUAGAAAGGCAAACCAGCCAUUCUACAGGAGCACAAGACUUCUGUGUAUCAGAGCGCACAAUGUUCAAUAAGACCCUGAACUUUCAAGUUCACAAAAGUUAAUAUUAACUGCAUCCUGCACAACUGGCUGUUAAAAUGAAAAAACAAAUUGUGUGCUUGCUUCAUUCAGUUCUUUGUGCUGGACACGUUCUUAGAAAAGAGUUUAGCAUAGUGUUUAAUUUUUUUUUUAAUCAAAACCCAUUUAUUUUUAAUUAUUAAAGUUGAAUGACGUUUCUUACAAAUCAGGGCAGAGAGAACUUUUGCAAAUGCCAUCUUUUCUGUCAGGAGCAUGCAGAGUGCUAUCUAACUGGAGAUCCUCAGAUUAGGUAGCUCAUGGUGGAUAAAGCCAUUGGUGGCUACUAGUCAUUAUGGCUAUAUGUUGCAUUGAGAGCCAGUGUGGUGUAGUGGUUAAGAGCGGUAGAUCCGUAAUCUGGGGAACCGGGUUCACGUCUCUGCUCCUCCACAUGCAGCUGCUGGGUGACCUUGGGCUAGUCACACUUCUUUGAAGUCUCUCAGCCUCACUCACCUCACAGGGUGUUUGUUGUCGGGGAGGAAGGGAAAGGAGAUUGUUAGACACUUUGAGACUCCUUCGGGUAGUGAUAAAGCGGGAUAUCAAAUCCAAAAUCUUCUUCUUCUUCUUCUUCUUCUUCUUCUUCUUCUUCUUCUUCGGGGUCAGAGAUGUGUUGCCUCUGAAUCCUGGUUGCUUGGGGGCAUAAGUGGGGAGAGAGUGCUCUUGUGCUAAUGUCCUGAUCGUGGGCUUCCCAUCUGCAGCUGGGUGGCCACUGUAAGAACCAGCUGUUGGACUAGAUGGAGCUUUGAUCAGAUCCAGCAGGGAUCUUCUUAUGGAGGAGAUAAUGAAUGCAAAUCAUGACACUAAAUGAUUCGUCACAAACAAUAUAAAGCUGUAGUAGAGCAAAACCAAAGCUGCCUAAUGGUGAAGGCUGGAUGUGUGUGCAUUCUCAUGAUGCAUCACAAGAUGCAUCACUGUGAAGGAGCCUGACUUGCAUGUUGGGCAGAACUGCAGUUUAUGCUUAAUUGCAGCUCUUGUGGUAUGGUGCUGGUGGCCCUUGUGCCUCCUUUGCAGCCACCCUCAACAAGUAAGAAGAGCCAGGCUGGUUCAUCCUGAGCAUAGGUCUCAUUUGGGAACAUAGAGAUGUAGCUCUGGUCAGGAAAGCAGAUUAAGAUAAAGAAGCAUUCUUUUCUCUCCUCGAAUGAAGAUUGAUGAGAUAAUUUGCUGCUGUUAGAUCUAAUUGGAACCAAGUCUAUAAAACCAGGCGUCUGUAAGAGUUGAGUUAUUGCCGUGUUUCAAUGCUUGAACCAGAAAUGUGCUUUAAUACCUAUUGGUUGACAUUGUUAUUGGGUGAGCUCAUCUAUUCCUGGCUGAAAUCACUGCUGGGAGGUUUGUAAGCCAUCCUAGCAGCUGGGCUAUUGCUUGCACCUGCUGUUGACUGUGGCUGUGGAGACCAGAAGCCAAAUUUCUGAAGCCACUUGCUAGUCGGAGUGCAAAGUCGCUUCUGCCUCUGGAGGGAUGAAGUCCUUGCAACAUGCCCAAACUCCCUGCCACCGCAUGCCGGAGUAUUUAGAUUGCAACACACUCAGCUUAUUGCAUCUUCUUGGACUAUGCAGUGGGCCCUACCUCACAGAGUGCAUCCUUGAAUAAGUACAAAAUACACAGACCUUGGAAGAAGGUAGACUUGGUGGAUAAAUUCAGUGUUCCCCAUCUCAUAUUGAUGCUGCUGCUGUUUGUUGACUUGAAUAAAUACAAUUGUUCAGAUACCUAUGUAAAACCCAUAAGAAGGGCCUGAGUGCAGCAGCAGUUCUCUCAAAUAGAUUUUUUUUAAAAUUUCUAUUUUCAUAGAAUAAUAGAAUAGGAAGGGACCCCAAGGGUCAUCUAGUCCAACCCUCUUCAAUGCUGGAAUCUCAACUAAAACUUCCAUGACAGAUGGCCAUCCAACUUUUGCUUAAAAACCUCCAAGGAAGGAGAGACCACAUCCUCCAGAGGGAGUCCGUUCGACUGUCGAACAGCUCUUACUGUCAGAAAGAUUUAAAAAAGUAUCAAGGCGGUGUACAAAAUUCUGAUUAAAACCCAAACAACCACAAUGAAGUAAAAGGAAAACACAUUACAGAAACAGAAGUAUGGAAUGGACAAUCUGAAAAGAAAGUUAAAAUAAAAAACUGCACGAAGGGGCUGUGGAGAUAAAUCAAUGGCCCUGCCGUUGGAUGUAUGGACAUUUGUACAGAGCACUUCUGCAUGAACAGGUGAAUCUGCGUUGACAAUCCGUGUGACAGCUGUGUUUCCCAUGGCCUCCUCUUGCUUCCCCAAGAAGUUGUUGGCUUCUUCAGCAGUAGUUUGCCUCCUUGAGCGUAAGCUGGCUCUCUGGGCUAUUCUGUCCCUCUCCCCCGCAAUUGCUUUUAUACUGCUGCCAAUUCCUUGACUCUCUAGUCUUGGAAUGCAGCUUUUAAGAUGAUUUUUUGGGGGGCCUCUUCCUUUCUCUUCCUGCAUUCCGCUUCCUCCAAAUUGCCUACAUUAAACUUUAAACAACAUGUGAAAGCCUUGUAGUUGAGAACUAUAAACAAACCUGAUAGGUAGCCGCAAUUUGAGCCGUUGAACUUGCUUAAAGUCUCUCUCCUUUGCCUCGCCGUUUCAUUCUAAAAUGACAAAUUGCUCAGAGCGGUUUCCAUGUUGGGGUUUUUUUUUCCUUUUAAAGCUUAGCUCCUCUUUCUCUGCCCACCCCCACCCCCUUUGGGGGCAUGUGGAAGGCAUUUGUGCACUUGACUUACCAUGGCUCAGGCCUAAGGUUUGUGGUUUCUACAUGACUGUGUCAAACAUUCACACAUAGCUGUUCAUGUUCGCUUCAAUUAAUGUUCCGCUGGGCCAGUGCGAGAGAAGCCAACUCCUUUUCUCUUUUGGUUGAGUGCAGCUCGCGUUGCAGGGAUUCAGGGUUUUACAGGUUCAUUUUUUAAAAAUGCAGCACGAAAGCUUUUUAAAUGCUUUUAAAAAGGAGGUGGUGGGGAAGAGAGUAGUCCAGUGGAUAUACAGUGGUACCUCGGGUUACAGACGCUUCAGGUUACAGACGCUUUAGGUUACAGACUCCACUAACCCAGAAAUAGUACCUCGGGUUAAGAACUUUGCUUCAGGAUGAGAAUAGCGGCGGCGCGGCGGCAGCGGGAGGCCCCAUUAGCUAAAGUGGUACAUCAGGUUAAGAACAGUUUCAGGUUAAGAACAGACCUCCGGAACGAAUUAAGUUCUUAACCCGAGGUACCACUGUACUGUUCAGCAGCCUGUGCCAACCUGGUGCCCUCCAGAUGUUUUGGCCUUCAGCUGCAGUCUGGCUGGCUGGGACUGAUGGCAAUCGUAGUCCAAAACAUCUAGAGGGCAUCAGGUUGGCCAAAACUGUCGCACACUGUGCCUGUUAAUAGAGGAAGCAAUGGUGUCUUUAAGGAUUCAUUGUCUUCCCACUGAAAGCAGCGAGGCAAACCUGCAUGCAGAAAAAGGCUGAAGGAAUAAAGGUGUGCUUUGCAUAUCAGACAACCGCAAAUGUCUUCCAUUGGGUUUAUAGUGGUUUCCCGACCACGUCGCUCGCUUGCGGCUUUCUCAGCCCUACCUGGAGACACGGUUGAUCAAACCAGGGACUUUCUGCAUACAAAGCAGGUGCUUUUCUACUGAGCUAUGAUGUGUGGGAGACCAGGGUUCAAAUCCCUGCAUAGCCAUGAAGCACUCUGGGCAGCCUUGGGCCUAGUCACUGUCUCUCAGGCUAACUUACCUCACAUGGCAGUUGCAGGGAUUAAAUGAGGAGCAGGAGAACCAUGUAUGCUGUCACUUUGAGCUCCUCAGAGAAAAAGCUGGGACAGAAAUGCAAUCAAUCAAUCAAUCAAUCAAACUACAGAAAAGCUGGGGGGGGGGCAGUAGUUGUUGCCACCUGGCCCUGGCCCUCUAUAUAUAGGACCAGUUCCCCAAAAAUGGUGUUUUAAAAGGGUUGCUGGAGUCAGUCUGGACCCUAGUGUUUGCUUCAUAUUAGUAAGUGCUAUAAGACCAGCUUUUGACCUUUUUUCUUUUUGUAGUACAGGAAUUACUUCAAACAGUGAGUUGCACAGACACUUGCCCCCACGCAUAUAUGUACUAGGCCUGUGGAGGAAGGGGAAAGAUUUGCAGUUAAGCCUCAUGGAUUUUUGCAGGUCUUCUCUAAGCACAGCUAAGUCUGGAUCAGACCCGUUGUGCUGGAGGAUUUGGGGUUGGUGUUCUGAACACUGACCUUUUUUAUUGUGGGGUCAUACUUGGGAGUUCGCUCUGCUGAAUGCAAGUGGAAAACAGUGUUUUUGCAAUAAUAACCUUUUU